Long non-coding RNA from Salvator merianae (Argentine black and white tegu), 1555 nucleotides. Lineage: Eukaryota; Metazoa; Chordata; Lepidosauria; Squamata; Teiidae. The record is from Ensembl.
UAUGGUGCAACUAAACUAAAUACCUCAGUUGCAUCUCUUUGAGUCCCUGAGAAACUGAGCUUGGCAUCUUCAUGGUGCCACGAACUAAUUUUAGCAGUCAUACAAAUUACAGGACCUAUGGUGCAACUAAACUAAAUACCUCAGUUGCAUCUCUUUGAAUCCCUGAGAAACUGAACUUGGCAUCUUCAUGGUGCCACAAACUAACUUUAAGGGUCAUAGAAAUUACUGGACCUAUGAAGCAACUAAACUAAAUACCUCAGUUGCAUCUCCUUGAGUCCUGAGAAACUGAGCUUGGCAUCUUCAUGGUGCCACGAACUAAUUUUAGCAGUCAUAGAAAUUACUGGUCCUAUGGUGCAACUAAACUAAAUACCUCAGUUGCAUCUCUUUGAGUCCCUGCCUGAAUUCAGAGCAGAACUGCAAUUACGACUGGUGUAUGUAAGACAUAACAAAAUCUGUUAUGUCUGAACAGAGCCUCCAUACCUGAGAAGCAUCUCUUUGAAUCCCAAAGAAGCUGCAGUUGCCACCUUCAUGAGUCACACAGAUCACGAACCCAAACGGCAGCUGGACGAAGUACCUGAGACGCUUUGUCUCCAGCCUGGAAGAUGGACUCGUCGUCCUCAGCGGAGGAGGCAGAAGAGGAUGUGGAAGAAGCCUGCUUUGAUAUCCAUCCUCCAUCAUCUUCAAGACUUCAGCAUCUUUCCGGGAGAGUUCAGGUGUGGAAAGGAGCGGGCAAACCUGCUUUGCUUGCGUGGGCUGUGGCAGUUGGACAGCGUUAACACAAUAUGUGUUUUUCUGGGGGUCUCCAGCAGAAGGUUCAAGGUCUAGCCCUGAUUUUCUAUGGGAUGCAGUGGCUUGAUAUUUCAUAACUCUGAAGGUUUUUCUCAAAAAGUAAACUUCAUAGAUUCCAAGGCAGCACUGUGCAAUGUUUCCAAUUUUGAGUUUUCUUACCUUCGUAUUAGAUGCUCCUGACGCAUUUAAUUGUCCUUCUUCCUGCAGACUUUCCUGGGCUGUCCAGCGAGCCUGCACGUGCAUCCUCAGAAGUGCGUACGCUUCUGACCUCACUGCCAUCGCUGGACGUGGGGCAGCAACCCAAGAGAAUCUGUANGUCCAUAAUCUGCUUUUGAAGAUCACCAAUAGUAAGAGAUUGGCCNUCUUUCUAUUUGUUAUUGAUUUAUGGUCGUUGCCAGAGGUAGGCAUGGUCUCUCCGCAGACAGGUGGGCUCAAUUUCCAUAUUGAGCCGUGGAGCAGGAGAAAAGCGCCAGGUGGUUUGUUGGUGAGCUUUGGCACUUAAGACAGGCCAAGGCUGGCACUGGUAAGGCUACCUGUUGGCCUUCAACAGUGUUGGCACACCAUGUUUGCUGUUCUGCAGAUCUUCAGCAUUCAGGGAAAGGAUCCGGACCCUCUGCACACCUCUAGUGCUGGCACUGGAGAGGUGCAGUGUUAGUCUUUUUGUGUAGUUUUUGUGGUCANCCCACUGNGGCCUGGCAUUUAAAAGAGGCAGCACAGUUUUCCUUGCUGAGUUCUGGCACUUGACUGAUGUGGCUGCGGUUCCUUU